AAAAGCUGCCUCCACCCAAAAUUCCAAUUUUCAGCAGCAAAAAAACCCACCACGAAAGUCUUCUUCCACGUGGCAAGCCACUUCGCUUCCCACCAUGGCUCCAUUAAAGAAUAAAGAUACUUCACCUCCUGCUUCAAUGCUCUCUCUUGUCUCUAUUAGCUUUAUCCAUCUUUGCCUGAUUCCGAUAAACAGUUGCAGGUCUUUCUCUGUGAAAAAUAGAAAAUUCUUUGUAUCUCUAUAGUUGGAGUAAUGAUAAGAGACAGAUACUCUUGAGAUUUUGGGGGUUUCGAGUAUGGGUAGUUUGGGCCUUGUUUUGGCGGUUUCUUUCCCUAAUAAACCGCCGUGCCUGUCCGGUCCUCACAGCUCACAUCACUUAAAUGGUAGAUUUGUAGGUGUCAAACGCAAUUUAAGCUCGAAAUGGCGAUCUAUGGCGUCUGAGCUGGAAUCUUCUUCCUUCGUGCCUUCUGUUGAUUCUGAUUCCACUGAUAUAAACGCCGCUGGGUUUUGUAUUAUAGAAGGGCCUGAAACGGUUCAAGACUUAUCUAAAAUGGAACUGCGAGAAAUUCGAGAUAAUAUCCGAAGUCGGCGAAACAAAAUUUUCUUGCAUAUGGAGGAGGUUCGUAGGCUAAGGAUACAACAGAGAAUCAAGAGUGCUGAACUUGGGAUUUUAAGCGAAAAACAAGAGAAUGAGCUUCCUAACUUUCCAUCAUUCAUCCCCUUCUUGCCUCCUUUGAGUGCAGAAAAUCUGAAAUUAUAUUAUGCUACUUGUUUUUCUCUCAUUGCUGGGAUUAUCAUUUUUGGCGGCCUUUUAGCACCCACCUUGGAGCUUAAGCUCGGAUUAGGGGGGACGUCAUAUGCAGAUUUUAUCCAUAGUGCCCAUUUACCUAUGCAAUUAAGGUAUGGUACAUGCGUUGGGUCCUUAUAGCUCUCCCUCUGUUUUUCUGAUUCUGGUUAUUCUCAGUUUGAUUUGAUUUGAUUUUACUGUCCCUGUGGGCUUCUGGUUAUCUCUACCAUGUAUUUUAUAUGGUUUCAUUUUGUCAAAACAACAUGGUUUUUAAGGUCCAUUUAUUUACCAAUGUAACUGCUGUAAAGUGCAGUCAGGUUGAUCCUAUAGUGGCUUCAUUCUCUGGAGGAGCUGUUGGUGUGAUCUCAGCCUUGAUGGUAGUCGAGAUAAACAAUGUAAAACAACAGGAACAUAAAAGAUGCAAAUAUUGUCUUGGAACUGGUGUGCCCUGGAUUCUCUGUACUCUAUCUUUCACCCUUGCGCUUUCCAUUUUGUGUCUGCAAACAUGUUUGUUUUGGCUCCAUUUUCUCUAGACAGGAUUUGGCUUUUUAUCUCUACUUCCAAGUACUUGUGCUGCCGUAGAUAUCAUUUUUUCCAUCCAACAAAAUUUUGAGCUGUAUUGCAAGUAGACUAUAUAUGCUUCUGAAAAUCUGAGUCCAUUUUUGUUAUAUAUGCUUGAAAGAGUUUAUCCUCACAGAAAUUUUAAUUUUGAUAUCUAUUAUAUAGAAACUCUCUCCUAUCUAUUCAAUGGCACUUUUAUGCUCCUUUUGUUUCUUGAGAAUAUGAGAUUAGAAAGUUAGCUGAACUUUUCCCAAAAACAGUUCCAUUAGUUUUCUUCGUAGCUUGGCAAAAUCUCUCCUAAUACCUUCAGGAAUUUUCUGCCUAUAUAUAGCCAACUUAGGUACUGAACACAUUGUUGCAAUUUAAUUAAUGUGCUAAUGAUCAUUCGUAUAGUAUUCAACUAAGCUGUUUAUUCUCUCUUUGGAUAAAGAUUGAACUUAUAACAGAUAAUUAUGAACAUGCACAUAAAAAAAUCACAGAGAAAGGGAAUGCACUUCCUGCACUUAUUUCCAAUAUGCACUGGAUAAAUGCAGGGUAUCUCGCUUGUGCUCGUUGCUCAAGCACUGGAGCGCUUGUUCUUAUUGAACCAGUUUCAACGGUCAAUAGUGGAGAUCAGCCACUGUCAGCACCCAAAACAGAAAGAUGUUCGAAUUGUUCAGGAUCUGGAAAGGUGAUGUGCCCCACAUGCCUUUGCACUGGAAUGGCUAUGGCUAGCGAACACGACCCGAGGAUUGACCCCUUCGACUAGACGUGUGUUAAAAUAAUUAUGUCACUAGAGUGGCAUGGCAGGUGAACAUGGCUCAUGGAUCGAUCCUUUGCUAGAAUGAUUCUUUUCUCUCUCUCUCUCUCUGGUCUGUGCCAUAGAUUUCCAUGGGAUAAGAAAAGACUUCAUGUCUCCUUAUCAUGUCCAUGUUUAUAGAAAAUUGCAACAUUUUUUUUCUCCUAUUUGUAUAUUUAAGCAACGAAAAUAAUACAUGUCUUUCAAUUUGAAAAAGUAUGGGAAGGGAUUGUCUUAUUCCUCUCGCUUGAUUAUGGUGGUCAUCAUAAAAUGGGUUUGUGGACAUUGGACGGACUUCCCAUUUAUAACUUUUUUUCCACUUAAGCAAGUGAAGAAUUUUGGC
This 2466-nucleotide unclassified non-coding RNA is filed under the name Hevea brasiliensis (rubber tree). Lineage: Eukaryota; Viridiplantae; Streptophyta; Magnoliopsida; Malpighiales; Euphorbiaceae. The record is from RNAcentral.